UACAGCGGGUGCCCGCGUUAAUCGGAUUUACUGAGCGUAAAGGGCGCGUAGGUGGUUGUGCAAGUGAGAUGUGAAAGCCCCGGGCUUAACCUGGGAACUGCAUCUUAUACUGCAUAGCUUGAGUGCAAUAGAGGGUAGUGGAAUUUCCGGUGUAGCGGUGAAAUGCGUAGAUAUCGGAAGGAACACCAGUGGCGAAGGCGGCUACCUGGAUUGACACUGACACUGAGGCGCGAGAGCGUGGGGAGCAAACAGG
Molecule: ribosomal RNA, 253 nt
Filed under: uncultured bacterium
Lineage: Bacteria
Description: partial 16S ribosomal RNA
Rfam family: Bacterial small subunit ribosomal RNA
Source: RNAcentral